GGGUCAGGCGGCGCGUGCCCUGUCCCCUCCCCGGGCUCCGGCCACACGAGCGGGCCGGCGCUGCGCUGCUGGCAACGUGUCGCGGGAACGCUCCUACCCCAUCUGCAUGCCUUACAUGGCUCGAAAGUAAAAAUAAAAAGAAUUACGAUGCGGGCGAGGCUUGUGGGGGUGAGAAGAGGAGAUUCCACGUCUCCCCAGUGCUGCGUCCUGAUAGGACCCCCAGGGCCUUCCGAGCCCUCUCCCAGCGACCACCUCGUGUCCCGGAGGUGCAGCAAGAGAUGUGAGAAGGUGUCACCCUGAAGAGGAAGUGGUGGACCAGCCCUGCCUGAUGUGGACAGCAGGGGACACAUGUCUGCCUGUCGGUCUAUCUGAAAUGGGGGAAAAAAUGCUGAAAGCCAAAGGAGGGCUUAAUGUGGCCUUUUCCACCUUCUAAUUCCAUAGAACCUCAGCUCUGGGACUUGCUUCCUGACCUAGGGUGCAGGGGCCAAAUUUGUUUGGGAACAACCCCAUUCACAAUUCCCCAUGAACUUUCAGAAAGGACCCUUGCGUCUUAGGUCCUGAGAAGUCACAAAUAAGCAAGCUGCAUUGUCUAAUGUCUUGUCUACACUGUUUUACAAACACAUUUAA
Molecule: long non-coding RNA, 627 nt
Filed under: Homo sapiens (human)
Lineage: Eukaryota; Metazoa; Chordata; Mammalia; Primates; Hominidae
Description: HSALNT0214546
Source: RNAcentral